RNAcentral lists this ribosomal RNA (405 nucleotides) under uncultured bacterium. Its description in RNAcentral is "bacterial SSU rRNA". It matches the Rfam family "Bacterial small subunit ribosomal RNA", at positions 355 to 774 of the family's 1533-position model. The record is from RNAcentral.
UGGGGAAUAUUGGGCAAUGGGGGAAACCCUGACCCAGCAACGCCGCGUGAAGGAAGAAGGCCUUCGGGUUGUAAACUUCUUUUACCAGGGACGAAGGACGUGACGGUACCUGGAGAAAAAGCCACGGCUAACUACGUGCCAGCAGCCGCGGUAAUACGUAGGUGGCAAGCGUUGUCCGGAUUUACUGGGUGUAAAGGGCGUGUAGGCGGAGCUGCAAGUCAGAUGUGAAAUCUCCGGGCUUAACCCGGAAACUGCAUUUGAAACUGUAGCCCUUGAGUAUCGGAGAGGCAAGCGGAAUUCCUAGUGUAGCGGUGAAAUGCGUAGAUAUUAGGAGGAACACCAGUGGCGAAGGCGGCUUGCUGGACGACAACUGACGCUGAGGCGCGAAAGCGUGGGGAGCAAACA